RNAcentral lists this ribosomal RNA (137 nucleotides) under Panthera tigris altaica (Amur tiger). Lineage: Eukaryota; Metazoa; Chordata; Mammalia; Carnivora; Felidae. The record is from RNAcentral.
AGUCUCUAGCCAUACCACCCUGAAUGUGCCCGGUGUCAUCUGAUCUCUGAAGCUAAGCAAGGUGGGGCUUGGUCAGUACUUGGUGGGGAGAAAUAGUGUGCACAAUUUCUUGGUCUGAACCCCCAGAGUACACAUUU